UGAAGUUUCAUCAUGUAUAUAUUGUUUUGUAGAAGACAUCACUUCUAAAUGUGUGUAUUCCGUGUUUAUGUGAAUUCACCGUGAUGCUCAGAAACGCACAUGGAAGUGUCAUUUAAGAGGUGAAAGGGCCGAACUACAGAUUUGUCUCCACCGGUUAAUGUCAAAGAUCUGCAGAUAUUGGAGAACAUCUAUAUUUAGAGCACGUGCAGAGUAGCAAGUGAGAUGACAUUACCGGCCAUCCUUUCUCUCUGGUGGCUCUUAAUAGUGCAUCUAUCCAAACAGACAGUGCAAGGGG
Molecule: long non-coding RNA, 295 nt
Organism: Trichomycterus rosablanca
Lineage: Eukaryota; Metazoa; Chordata; Actinopteri; Siluriformes; Trichomycteridae
Exons: 3
Source: RefSeq, a predicted model, not a curated record